RNAcentral lists this ribosomal RNA (302 nucleotides) under uncultured bacterium. RNAcentral's name for it is "partial 16S ribosomal RNA". It matches the Rfam family "Bacterial small subunit ribosomal RNA", at positions 508 to 809 of the family's 1533-position model. The record is from RNAcentral.
GCAGUAGCCGCGGUAAUACGAAGGGUGCAAGCGUUAAUCGGAAUUACUGGGCGUAAAGCGUGCGUAGGCGGUGGGUUAAGUCUGCUGUGAAAUCCCCGGGCUCAACCUGGGAAUGGCAGUGGAUACUGGCUCGCUAGAGUGUGUCAGAGGAUGGUGGAAUUCCCGGUGUAGCGGUGAAAUGCGUAGAGAUCGGGAGGAACAUCAGUGGCGAAGGCGGCCAUCUGGGACAACACUGACGCUGAGGCACGAAAGCGUGGGGAGCAAACAGGAUUAGAUACCCCCGUAGUCCCUGUCUCUUAUAA